Molecule: ribosomal RNA, 468 nt
Filed under: uncultured bacterium
Lineage: Bacteria
Description: partial 16S ribosomal RNA
Rfam family: Bacterial small subunit ribosomal RNA
Source: RNAcentral
GACGAACGCUGGCGGCGUGCUUAACACAUGCAAGUCGAACGGAAAGGCCCUGCUUUUGUGGGGUGCUCGAGUGGCGAACGGGUGAGUAACACGUGAGUAACCUGCCCUUGACUUUGGGAUAACUUCAGGAAACUGGGGCUAAUACCGGAUAGGAUCUCCUGCUGCAUGGUGGGGGUUGGAAAGUUUCGGCUGUUGGGGAUGGACUCGCGGCUUAUCAGCUUGUUGGUGGGGUAGUGGCUUACCAAGGCUUUGACGGGUAGCCGGCCUGAGAGGGUGACCGGCCACAUUGGGACUGAGAUACGGACCAGACUCCUACGGGCGGCAGCAGUGGGGAAUAUUGCACAAUGGGCGGAAGCCUGAUGCAGCAACGCCGCGUGCGGGAUGACGGCCUUCGGGUUGUAAACAGCUUUCGCAUGUGACGAAGCGUGCGUGACGGUAAUGGGUCAAGAAGCACCGGCUAACUACGUG